GCCCCGGUAGUAUAGUGGUUAGGACGCUUCUUAUAUCAUAUGAUUUAGGAGGAAACCCAAGUUCGAUUCUUGGUCGGGUCU
Leptodontidium sp. MPI-SDFR-AT-0119 is the source of this 81-nucleotide non-coding RNA. The record is from the annotation of a GenBank genome assembly. Lineage: Eukaryota; Fungi; Ascomycota; Leotiomycetes; Helotiales; Leptodontidiaceae.